ACAAUGAAACUUCCGUAAAUCCCCGGCCCGGCCAAUAAAGAAGCCGGGGUGGCUGAAAAGCCAAUGA
This 67-nucleotide non-coding RNA is filed under the name unclassified sequences. RNAcentral describes it as "pemK RNA". It matches the Rfam family "pemK RNA". The record is from RNAcentral.